GGAACCUGGUUGAUCCUGCCAGUAGUCCACGCUUGUCUUAAGGGUUAAGCCAUGCACUUGAGAAGUAUCAAUUUUUGAAUGGUUAGACUGGGAAUGGCUCAUUAAAACAGUUAUGAUUUACUUGAUGAUUGCUUUAACAGCAUUGGAUAACAGUAGUAAUUCUAGUGCUAAUACACGUUUAAUGACCCGACUUU
This 194-nucleotide ribosomal RNA is filed under the name uncultured eukaryote. Its description in RNAcentral is "partial 18S ribosomal RNA". It matches the Rfam family "Eukaryotic small subunit ribosomal RNA", at positions 1 to 190 of the family's 1831-position model. The record is from RNAcentral.